This 194-nucleotide microRNA precursor is filed under the name Oryza sativa Indica Group (long-grained rice). Its description in RNAcentral is "MIR812 microRNA precursor family". It matches the Rfam family "MIR812 microRNA precursor family". The record is from Rfam by way of RNAcentral. Lineage: Eukaryota; Viridiplantae; Streptophyta; Magnoliopsida; Poales; Poaceae.
AAAAAGACAAACUCUAGAUUUUCGUGUCCCGUUUGACUGUCUAUCUUAUAUGAAAUUUUUUUAUAAUUAGUAUUUUUAUUGUUGUCAGAUGAUAAAACAUGAUUAAUACUCUAUGCGUAACUUGUCUUUUUAAUUUUUUUCAUAUUUUUUCAAAUAAGAUAAAUGAUUAAACGUUGGAAAAAAAAUCGAAGGUU